Molecule: ribosomal RNA, 858 nt
Filed under: Hypoxylon fragiforme
Lineage: Eukaryota; Fungi; Ascomycota; Sordariomycetes; Xylariales; Hypoxylaceae
Description: eukaryotic LSU rRNA
Rfam family: Eukaryotic large subunit ribosomal RNA
Source: RNAcentral
GAAACCAACAGGGAUUGCCCUAGUAACGGCGAGUGAAGCGGCAACAGCUCAAAUUUGAAAUCUGGCCUCGUGGUCCGAGUUGUAAUUUGUAGAGGAUGCUUUUGGUGCGGUGCCUUCCGAGUUCCCUGGAACGGGACGCCAGAGAGGGUGAGAGCCCCGUACGGUUGGACACCUACCCUAUAUAUAGCUCCUUCGACGAGUCGAGUAGUUUGGGAAUGCUGCUCUAAAUGGGAGGUAAAUUUCUUCUAAAGCUAAAUACCGGCCAGAGACCGAUAGCGCACAAGUAGAGUGAUCGAAAGAUGAAAAGCACUUUGAAAAGAGGGUUAAAUAGCACGUGAAAUUGUUGAAAGGGAAGCGUUUGCGACCAGACUUUUUCCAGGGGGAUCAUCCGGUGUUCUCACCGGUGCACUCCGCCUGGUUUAGGCCAGCAUCGGUUCUCUUAGGGGGAUAAAGGCUUGGGGAACGUAGCUCCUUCGGGAGUGUUAUAGCCCCUUGCGUAAUACCUUCGGGGGACCGAGGAUCGCGCUCUGCAAGGAUGCUGGCGUAAUGGUCGUCAACGACCCGUCUUGAAACACGGACCAAGGAGUCGAACAUUUGUGCGAGUGUUUGGGUGUUAAACCCUCACGCGUAAUGAAAGUGAACGGAGGUGAGAGCCCUUACGGGUGCAUCAUCGACCGAUCCUGAUGUCUUCGGAUGGAUUUGAGUAAGAGCAUAACUGUUCGGACCCGAAAGAUGGUGAACUAUGCGUGGAUAGGGUGAAGCCAGAGGAAACUCUGGUGGAGGCUCGCAGCGGUUCUGACGUGCAAAUCGAUCGUCAAAUCUGCGCAUGGGGGCGAAAGACUUAUCGAACCAUCUAGU